CCUACGGGUGGCAGCAGUGAGGAAUAUUGGUCAAUGGACGAGAGUCUGAACCAGCCAAGUAGCGUGAAGGAUGACUGCCCUAUGGGUUGUAAACUUCUUUUAUAAAGGAAUAAAACGAGGCACGUGUGCCUUUUUGCAUGUACUUUAUGAAUAAGGAUCGGCUAACUCCGUGCCAGCAGCCGCGGUAAUACGGAGGAUGCGAGCGUUAUCCGGAUUUAUUGGGUUUAAAGGGAGCGUAGAUGGGUUGUUAAGUCAGUUGUGAAAGUUUGCGGCUCAACCGUAAAAUUGCAAUUGAUACUGGCAGUCGUGAGUACAGUUGAGGUAGGCGGAAUUCGUGGUGUAGCGGUGAAAUGCUUAGAUAUCACGAAGAACCCCGAUUGCGAAGGCAGCUUACUAAACUGUGACUGACAUUGAUGCUCGAAAGUGUGGGUAUCAAACAGGAUUAGAUACCCGGGUAGUC
Molecule: ribosomal RNA, 460 nt
Filed under: uncultured bacterium
Lineage: Bacteria
Description: partial 16S ribosomal RNA
Rfam family: Bacterial small subunit ribosomal RNA
Source: RNAcentral